Molecule: ribosomal RNA, 253 nt
Filed under: uncultured Oscillospira sp.
Lineage: Bacteria; Bacillati; Bacillota; Clostridia; Eubacteriales; Oscillospiraceae
Description: partial 16S ribosomal RNA
Rfam family: Bacterial small subunit ribosomal RNA
Source: RNAcentral
UACGUAGGUGGCAAGCGUUGUCCGGAUUUACUGGGUGUAAAGGGCGUGCAGCCGGAGAGACAAGUCAGAUGUGAAAUCCACAGGCUCAACCUGUGAACUGCAUUUGAAACUGUUUCCCUUGAGUAUCGGAGAGGUCAUCGGAAUUCCUAGUGUAGCGGUGAAAUGCUUAGAUAUAACUUAGAACUCCGAUAGCGAAGGCAGCUUACCAGACUGCGACUGACGCUGAAGCACGAGAGCGUGGGUAGCGAACAGG